This 633-nucleotide long non-coding RNA is filed under the name Gallus gallus (chicken). Its description in RNAcentral is "lncRNA (ENSGALG00010009350.1)". The record is from RNAcentral. Lineage: Eukaryota; Metazoa; Chordata; Aves; Galliformes; Phasianidae.
CUUUUUUACUGGCCCUGCUUUGAGCAGGGUUGCGCCAAAUGGACUCUUGAAGUCCCUUCCAGACUCUUAUGUCCACCAUCUUUUUUUCUUGGACAUCUUUGUGCUAGACAAUUUUUGGAAACAUUGUGAUUGAUGGCUUCGAUGAAUGGAUCCGUCUGGUCUGACAAAAGCUGAAAUGCCCUGAUCAAAUCCCAGAUCACCAGGUUCAGUGUAACAUAUACUUACAACAUCUUUUACUCACUACCAACCUGACACUUAGAGCUACAGCAGAAUGUAGAGCAGCCUGAAGGACCAAAAUGCAAUCUGGAUCUGCCUGAGAAGGUAUUCAGCUUUCUUCCAUUUCCAGUGGAGAAGCAUAAGCCUGCCUGAGCUGAAGGCUGGAGGAAUUUUAUCAUUGGGUGAAGAGAUGAAACAACACAGUGAAAACAAAACCCCUUCCCCCGGAAUUUUGCAUUUCUCCAGUGAGAGCUUCUGGCAGACUAUUUUCUCUUCAAGGAAAAAGAAUAAAUCACUGAAGUAAGCCAUGGAUAGAAAAAACACAGUGCACAGGAUGAUUUCGAAUCAAGAGAAAGUGAGAAAAUUUCCAGGCACAGCACUUGUUUACUUGCCUGAACUGGUUUCAGUGAGAACUGC